GGAGGGAUAGCGAAGCAUGGCCAACCGCGCAGGACUCAAGAUCCCGUCCCUUAGGGGUUCGUGGGUUCAAAUCCCACUCCCUCCA
RNAcentral lists this transfer RNA (85 nucleotides) under Thermoproteota archaeon. RNAcentral's name for it is "tRNA-Leu". It matches the Rfam family "tRNA". Rfam says of the family: Transfer RNA (tRNA) molecules are approximately 80 nucleotides in length. Their secondary structure includes four short double-helical elements and three loops (D, anti-codon, and T loops). Further hydrogen bonds mediate the characteristic L-shaped molecular structure. tRNAs have two regions of fundamental functional importance: the anti-codon, which is responsible for specific mRNA codon recognition, and the 3' end, to which the tRNAs corresponding amino acid is attached (by aminoacyl-tRNA synthetases). tRNAs cope with the degeneracy of the genetic code in two manners: having more than one tRNA (with a specific anti-codon) for a particular amino acid; and 'wobble' base-pairing, i.e. permitting non-standard base-pairing at the 3rd anti-codon position. Lineage: Archaea; Thermoproteati; Thermoproteota. RNAcentral also lists the same sequence under 1 other name. The record is from RNAcentral.